GUAGGUGGCAAGCGUUGUCCGGAAUUAUUGGGCGUAAAGCGCGCGCAGGUGGUUCUUUAAGUCUGAUGUGAAAGCCCCCGGCUCAACCGGGGAGGGUCAUUGGAAACUGGGGAACUUGAGUGCAGGAGAGGAAAGUGGAAUUCCACGUGUAGCGGUGAAAUGCGUAGAUAUGUGGAGGAACACCAGUGGCGAAGGCGACUUUCUGGCCUGUAACUGACACUGAGGCGCGAAAGCGUGGGGAGCAAACAGGAUUAGAUACCCUGGUAGUCCACGCCGUAAGCGAUGAGUGCUAAGUGUUGGGGGGGUUUCCCGCCCCUCAGUGCUGCAGCUAACGCAUUAAGCACUCCGCCUGGGGAUACGGUCGCAAGACUG
RNAcentral lists this ribosomal RNA (372 nucleotides) under uncultured organism. RNAcentral's name for it is "partial 16S ribosomal RNA". It matches the Rfam family "Bacterial small subunit ribosomal RNA", at positions 527 to 896 of the family's 1533-position model. The record is from RNAcentral.